GGCUCCGUAGCUCAGGGGAUAGAGCAUGGGUUUCCUAAACCUUGUGUCGCAGGUUCGAAUCCUGCCGGGGUCG
RNAcentral lists this transfer RNA (73 nucleotides) under Pontibacillus litoralis JSM 072002. It matches the Rfam family "tRNA". Rfam says of the family: Transfer RNA (tRNA) molecules are approximately 80 nucleotides in length. Their secondary structure includes four short double-helical elements and three loops (D, anti-codon, and T loops). Further hydrogen bonds mediate the characteristic L-shaped molecular structure. tRNAs have two regions of fundamental functional importance: the anti-codon, which is responsible for specific mRNA codon recognition, and the 3' end, to which the tRNAs corresponding amino acid is attached (by aminoacyl-tRNA synthetases). tRNAs cope with the degeneracy of the genetic code in two manners: having more than one tRNA (with a specific anti-codon) for a particular amino acid; and 'wobble' base-pairing, i.e. permitting non-standard base-pairing at the 3rd anti-codon position. The record is from Rfam by way of RNAcentral. Lineage: Bacteria; Bacillati; Bacillota; Bacilli; Caryophanales; Bacillaceae.